GCGUAUCAGUUGUGAGAGGUGGUUGUGCGUGCGUGCGUGUGUGCGUGCGUGUGUGUGUGUGUGUGUGUGCUGUUCGUCCUUUACGAUCAUCGCUGUCAGCGCCUCACCCUCUCUCGCACAGCUCUGGGAAGAAGAGGAGCCGGUUAGUGGUGCACCGGUUAUUGCGCGGGGCUACUGCGAAACGCGUGCAAGGGAACGUCGUCGACAUCACGCGCGGUCAUCACGCCGGUAUCGCAGCGGGAGUCUUUGAAAAACCUCCCGCGAAGGGCUGUGCGCGUUGCCUCGUUCAGCAGUCGGCACGACGCAGAUAUCGCAGCAGCACCGGAGACUUCAACGAUAUUGAGGACAGCGAGCCAUGGCGGUGGUCCUGGCGGCCUGCUGCUGCCUGCUCGUUCUUCUGGGUCCCGGCUCGCUGGUCGAGGGCCAAGAGUCAGGCGAGGAGGCAUCUACGCUGUCAGAGACUUCCUCAGUGGAGAAAGAGUCGACUCCAGAUCGUGAGGAAGUGUCCACCCACGAAGCUCUUUCGCACCCGGAACUGUCCUCUGACCACGAGCCUGUUCCGGCCCAGGACGGAGCCACUGCGGCCGCUUUGCGCUCGGACCCGUGUGCAUCGAGCGCCGACAACUGCUCCGAGUGUCUGAGGCAUCCGGAGUGCGCAUGGUGUUCCCAGCAGAACUUCCCACGAGGUGUAGCGCGUUGCAACCCUGCCUCGGUGCUCCUGGACAGCGGCUGCAGCGAGGACGCCAUCGAGGACCCGAAGAGCCGCAUCGACGAAAUCACGCCCGUAGACAAGGCCGGGUCAGACGUGCAGCUCCAACCCGGAGAAGUUCACAUUACGCUACGACCAGGUUCGAAGCAGACGUUCACCGUUCGUUACCGCCAGGCGGAGGACUAUCCGGUGGACCUGUACUACCUCAUGGACCUCACACAUUCCAUGAAGGAGCACAAGGAGAGGGUGGCUGAGCUCGCUGACGACCUGGUGCAGCACAUGCUGAACGUGACCAAGAACUUCCGCCUCGGUUUCGGCUCCUUCAUCGACAAGGUGGUGCUACCGUACGUCGACACCACGCCCGCCAGACUGCAGAACCCUUGCCACGACACCGAGUGCGACCCACCUUACGGCUUCCACCACCAGCUGGCGCUCACGUCAAACAGUAGCCUCUUCACCGAGAAGGUGUCCUCUGCCGGCCUGUCCGGCAACCUGGACAACGCAGAGGGCGGCUUCGACGCCAUCAUGCAGGCUGUCGUGUGCAAGGAGGCCAUUGGCUGGAGCCAGAGGUCCAGGAAGAUCCUUCUGUUUGCCACGGACUCCAUCUUCCAUUCGGCCGGCGAUGGACUGCUCGGAGGCGCCGUCAAGCGUAACGACGAGCAGUGCCACUUGGACGAGGACGGCUUCUACUCGGAGAGUAAGGAACAGGACUACCCUUCCCUGAGCCAGAUCGUGCGCGUGGUGCAGCAGAACAAGAUCAACCUGAUCUUCGCGGUUCCCGAGAAGGCGUUCGGCGUUUACGACAAACUCAGCUCGUUCAUCGACGGAUCCUCCGUGGGCACGCUCGCCGGCGACUCCUCGAACAUCGUCCAGCUCGUCCGGGACCAGUACUACAAAAUUCGCUCCGAAGUGGUCCUCCAGGACAACGCUCCCGACUUUCUCAAGGUCAGCUACAAGAGCAGCUGCCUGCGCGGGUCCAGUUCCAGGGGCCUGAGCAAUGCCUGCGACGGCAUUAAAGUCGGCGACGAGAUCGAGUUCCAGGUGACCGUGGAGCUGGAGCAGUGUCCCAGCGAUGGUGUCCAGGGUGGCCAGAGCACGGCGUUCCGCAUCUCCCCCGUGGGAGUGAACGAGUACGUGCAGGUGCGCGUGGAGCCCAUCUGCCGCUGCGCCUGCCAGGACGUCGUGGAGGCGAACAGCAGCGCGUGCAGAGGCCGCGGCAGCGCCGUGUGCGGCGCCUGCGAGUGCGAGACCAGCUUCUACGGCAAGCACUGCGAGUGCCUGGGCAGCGAAUUGGAGCAGCACACGGCACUCUGCCGCAGUGACAAUUCAAGCUCCGAGGUGUGUUCACACCGCGGCGACUGCGUCUGUGGCGAGUGCAAGUGCUACGACCCGCCGGGCGUGCCCGGAGGUCGCGUGUUCGGCCAGUGGUGCGAGUGCGACACCUUCUCGUGCGAGCGCGACUCCGAGGGCCGCGUGUGCGGAGGACCCGACCGGGGCGUCUGCUGCGGCGGCGAGUGCCGCUGCCGGCCGGGAUGGCAGGGCUCGGCGUGCGGAUGCUCCACGGGCACCGAGACGUGCGUGGCGCCUCAGGACUCGGACAGCGGCCGCCUGUGCUCGGGACACGGGGAGUGCGUCUGCGGACGCUGCUUGUGCCACGCCGACGCCCGGGGACGCUUCGCCGGACCCUUCUGCCAGGACUGCGCGGCCUGCGUGGGCCGGUGUUCCGAGUUCCGCAGCUGCGUCCAGUGCGUCGUCUUCGAGUCCGGCGAAAUGAGCGAGGAAGAGUGCCGUUUCAACUGCAGCUCUCUCAACAUCCAACCCGUGGAUGUCGCCGAAGCCACUGAUCCCGAGGAGCGUAAGUGCAUCUUCAAGGACGACGACAGCUGCUCCUUCUCGUUCGUGUACUCGUACGACGAGCAGAACGAACUGGUCAUCAGGGCGCAGACCACCAAAGACUGCGGCCGUGAGGCGCUCACGUGGUACAUCGUGGGAGGCCUGGUGUGCGGCAUCGUGCUCGUCGGCCUGCUGGUCGUGUGCAUCGCUCGCUUCCUCGUCUAUCUCAGGGACCGCGUCGAAUACGAGAAGUUCGACAAGGAGAUCAAGAACACCCAGUGGGGCACGGACACGAACCCAAUCUUCAAGAAUGCCGUGUCGAACUUCCAGAAUCCAACGUACGAGUCCGGGCAGCGUGCAGUCGUCAGCUGACCGACGCGCUGGCCAUUGUGAUGACGUCAGAUGGAGCGUUCUGCAAUACGUGUUUAGAACCCAGCGACACAAUUUUUUUUUUCUGCUGAGUCUACAGUUCUCCACGAGAACUCUGACCGUGCCAUCUUUUAUACGGGCGUGCCGUGAUCGAGUUGUACGAAGAACCUGUGUUUUCGGCUCCAACGAUGCGGUAUGCUGCAGCAACAUGCAGUGUUUUUCUGGGCAUUGUCAAAUUCCGCCAUCUUGUUGAUAUCGCUAUCUUGUCUGCUUUGAUUGGUUCAGAAGGUCAUUACGCCUAGUAGCACGCAUUGUUGCCAUAACGGUGAAGAAACGCCUGCAACGUUAAGGCAACAUUCACGACGUUCUGGCAACGUUGCGUCAACAGUUGGUAUUUCUAGCGCUUUUGUGAUUGGUCCAAAUGUCCGCCAUAUUGUAAUGACGGAACUUGACGAUCAUGCAGGACUGCUUCUUCCGCUGUACUUCGCGGACGUGGUCGCUCAUGCGACCAGUGCUUUUACGUACUUGGUUCUGUUCCUUUGCUGACGAGACUGCAAGCUGACUGCGCGAGAUAACUAGUGCACCGCCCAUUCACCAAUGUAUACGGGAGCCUUUAGACCCCGUAAGCUGUGAAUCCGUCCUCAGCACAGCCGUUAUCACUGCCGAUUUGUUUCUGUUCCUCCUUCACAUGCAUUUUGUAUUGAUGCCGACUUCGGAUAACUCGAUUUUCCUUUUAAUUCGGCCCUGUGUUAAAGUUCUAACUGGGAAGACGCUAACACUUCUUAAAAUAUUGGUAUUGAUUUGGAUGUCUGAUGUAAAUUUCGAACCACUUUCCAUGACUUCAACCUAGCGACGGCCGCUAGGUUGAAGUCGUAGAAAUUGGCAUAUGUGGUUAAUUCUUGCAUGUGGCAUAUGUCACCAAUAACACUGUCAACAGUAUAGUGAAACGAGGUGGUGUUUUUUACAGUGGCCACAAAAAUAAUCUCGCGCUCAAUGAACUUCAGAAAAUGUGCCUUUUAUGUUUUCUACGAAAUGGACGAAAUGGGGUGUUGUGCCAUAUGAUACAGAGGUGUACAAGUCGCUUUUCGAUUUUUUUUUUGUGUGUGUGGGUGUGAGUCGAAGAAGCGCAGUAUAAGCAGCGCACAUUUCACUUUGAGUUUUCUUAAUCAUAAUUCAGAAGGUAUGUUACAGUCGUCAGCGCUCAAAAGAAGCUCUCGCGGGUCCAUUGUUUUCAUUAUGAUUCCUUUAUCUUGCAAGAACCUUUUUUUUUUAUCUUAGCAACUUCGUAUUUAUCUUACCUUAGCAAUUUACUCUGGCUGCAUGCUGCGAUACUUUAGGUAGAACACGAUACACAAAUGUUGUUUGUUCCUAUUUUCUUAUGUGCAGUAUUGUUUUACAUCAUGUGCCAAAUUGUCCAUGAAUAAUGGAAGGCUGUGUAGAAAAAACAUGGGAGGUAGCCAGGAGAAGUGCACAAACAGAAGGCAGGUCGCCGCCACCGUGAAGUUUCUGCACCAUGCAGCUCACUGUAUAUAGCCAUAAUAUCCUGGA
Molecule: RNA transcript, 4459 nt
Organism: Rhipicephalus sanguineus (brown dog tick)
Lineage: Eukaryota; Metazoa; Arthropoda; Arachnida; Ixodida; Ixodidae
Gene name: integrin beta-PS
Exons: 22
Source: RefSeq, a predicted model, not a curated record